RNAcentral lists this ribosomal RNA (644 nucleotides) under unidentified archaeon. RNAcentral describes it as "bacterial SSU rRNA". It matches the Rfam family "Archaeal small subunit ribosomal RNA", at positions 40 to 688 of the family's 1478-position model. The record is from RNAcentral.
UCGACUAAGCCAUGCGAGUCGAAUGUAGCAAUACAUGGCGAACUGCUCAGUAACACGUGGACAACCUGCCCUUAGGUUGGGUAUAAACCCGGGAAACUGGGUAUAAUACCCGAUAGGUCUCGAUUGCUGGAAUGCAUCGAGAUUUAAAGCUCCGGCGCCUAAGGAUGGGUCUGCGGCCUAUCAGGUAGUAGUGGGUGUAGCGUACCUACUAGCCUACGACGGGUACGGGUUGUGAGAGCAAGAGCCCGGAGAUGGAUUCUGAGACACGAAUCCAGGCCCUACGGGGUGCAGCAGGCGCGAAAACUUUACAAUGCUGGCAACAGCGAUAAGGGAACCUCGAGUGCCAGGUUACAAAUCUGGCUGUCGAGAUGCCUAAAAAGCAUUUCAUAGCAAGGGCCGGGCAAGACCGGUGCCAGCCGCCGCGGUAACACCGGCGGCUCGAGUGGUAACCGUUAUUAUUGGGUCUAAAGGGUCUGUAGCCGGCCGGAUAAGUCUCUUGAGAAAUCUGGCAGCUUAACUGUCAGGCUUUCAGGAGAUACUGUCUGGCUCGAGGCCGGGAGAGGUGAGAGGUACUUCAGGGGUAGGGGGUGAAAUCUUGUAAUCCUUGAAGGACCACCAGUGGCGAAUGCGUCUCACCAGAACGG